CGGACGGGUGAGUAAUGUCUGGGAAACUGCCCGAUGGAGGGGGAUAACUACUGGAAACGGUAGCUAAUACCGCAUAACGUCGCAAGACCAAAGAGGGGGACCUUCGGGCCUCUUGCCAUCGGAUGUGCCCAGAUGGGAUUAGCUAGUAGGUGGGGUAACGGCGCACCUAGGCGACGAUCCCUAGCUGGUCUGAGAGGAUGACCAGCCACACUGGAACUGAGACACGGUCCAG
Molecule: ribosomal RNA, 232 nt
Filed under: uncultured bacterium
Lineage: Bacteria
Description: partial 16S ribosomal RNA
Rfam family: Bacterial small subunit ribosomal RNA
Source: RNAcentral